CUUCCGUAGGGGGAACCUGCGGAAGGAUCAUUAUCAAUUUACAGCGGACUUCGGUCCUGUCUGCACCCUUGUCUUUUGCGUACUAUAUGUUUCCUCGGUGGGCUUGCCUGCCGAUAGGACACUUAUAAACUCUUUUGUAAUUGCAAUCAGCGUCAGAAAAACUAUAAUAGUUACAACUUUCAACAACGGAUCUCUUGGUUCUGGCAUCGAUGAAGAACGCAGCGAAAUGCGAAAAGUAGUGUGAAUUGCAGAAUUCAGUGAAUCAUCGAAUCUUUGAACGCACAUUGCGCCCCUUGGUAUUCCAUGGGGCAUGCCUGUUCGAGCGUCAUUUGUACCCUCAAGCUCUGCUUGGUGUUGGGUGUUUGUCCCGCUAUCACGCGUGGACUCGCCUUAAAGCAAUUGGCAGCCGGCAUAUUGGCCUGGAGCGCAGCACAAUUUGCACUUCUUGCCUUUUGAAUGUCGAGCAUCCAGAAGCAACUCUUUUUGCUUUGACCUCGGAUCAGUACGUUCCGCC
Molecule: ribosomal RNA, 514 nt
Filed under: Pyrenochaeta sp. FS97
Lineage: Eukaryota; Fungi; Ascomycota; Dothideomycetes; Pleosporales; Cucurbitariaceae
Description: eukaryotic LSU rRNA
Rfam family: 5.8S ribosomal RNA (bases 175-328)
Source: RNAcentral